Molecule: long non-coding RNA, 10526 nt
Organism: Camelus dromedarius (Arabian camel)
Lineage: Eukaryota; Metazoa; Chordata; Mammalia; Artiodactyla; Camelidae
Exons: 2
Source: RefSeq, a predicted model, not a curated record
GCUCCCCAGGGAGGGAGGGGUGGUGAGAGAGAAGGAAGGAAGGGGAGAGAAGAGAGGAGGGAGCCUGGAUGUUUUGCCCUUGUAUUUCCUCUGCUUCCCUCAGACUCCUGUCCCCACCCCAUCCCCCCAGCACAAAAGUGCUGACUGCCAAGUCCCUGGUGCCCAUCUUCCCAAAGCAGGCACUCUUUCCUGAAAGGCCUCACUGCAAAAGAAGAAGGACUCCAAAGUGACCAAAUAUGUCCGAGCAUUGAUUCCACCGAGGUCCGAACUAUUCUAAAGCUGGAAUGGUGGUGAGAAGGAGGAACAGGGAAGCAAUAGGGGAGAAUUGGCCUGGAGAAGGGGAAGCAGAGGGCCGGCUGAAUUUCUCUCCUCCACAGGUGGCCCACAGGCCUGUGCGUCCCCCUCCACUUUCCUCGAUGGUCCUUCCUGCCUUUCCUCCCCCGCCUUCACGCAGAUUCCGUGACCCUGCUUCCUCAUUCACCAUGGAAGGAGACACAGUCCUGAGGAAGCACACACAAGCUCUCCAGCACAUCUGCCUACGCCCCUGCCCUGGCCUGGCCUGUUACUCUAGGAGGGUGGCCACCUCCUGUUGUGCUCUGGACCCCUUCCCCAGCCCUUGAUUCUGUCCCUUCUCUCUCCUGAUGUGUACAUGAACACGUUGUAACAAACAAGGUGGCCUAGACCCCAUCUUCUUCUUCUCUGCCCCCUUGUCAGCACCUGUCCACCCUUUCCUCCUAAAUCCCCCAUCGGGCUCUCCCAUCUUCAUGCUACCAAAAAGCCCUCAUAAAAGUCACCAUGAUGUUCGAUCCAGUGGUCAGUUUUCAGCUCUCAUCCUGUUUGAUCUCUCAGGAGCGGCCAACACCACUGAAGUUCAAGUACAUUUCUUUGUGAGGAUGCCACAUCCUCUCCUGGUUUUCCUCCUACCUCACAGGCUGUUUCUGUUCUGUUUCCGUUGCCCAUUCCCUCUUGUGUCUCUUUUUUGAACAUGGGGUAUACUCAGGCUGCCCUCAGACUUCUCAUCCACACUCACUCCUUGGUGGCCUUCUCCAUUUUUAAAUCCCAUCAAUGUACGUGCUGAUGUCUAUCAAACUGGUACAUCUAGCUUGAGCCUCUUCUGAAUUCCAGGCUUGGGCUCAUUUACAGCUCCACCAGGAUAUCCGAUGGGCAUCUCUUAUUUAAUGUGUCCAAAAACAAGCUCCGAUCUGCCCACCCCAAACCUGUCCUCCCAUGAGUGUCUCCCUCUUGUUACUCUGGCAAAUCAUCAUGGUGCCCUCCUUGACUCCUUCCUUCCUCAGACCCCACAUCCAAACAUCAGCAAAUCCUGUCGGCUCUACCUUCAAAAUGUAUCUGAAUUCCACUGCAUCUCAGUGCCUCCACAGCUACCAGCCAGGUCUCAGCCACUGUCAUCUCAGGCCUGAAUUAAUGUAGCAGCGCCUUAAUGGUCCUCCCUGCCUCCACACCUGUCCCUGCAGCCUCUUCUCAGCACGGCAGCCAGUGGGAUCCUCCAAAAAAGGAAGUCAGAUCAUGUCACUCUUUUGCUCAAAACCUCCUAGUGCCUCCUGUGUCUCAGAACAAAGGCGGGUCCUUGCAGUGGCCCCUUGUGUGGCCUCUCCCACCUCUGACCUCUCAGCACCAGCUACUCUUAACCGCUAGCUGUUCCUUGACCUGCCAGGUGGGCUCUGCGGGAAACUGUCCCCCCAGGUGUCUGCCAGGUUUGCUUCCUCAUCACUUUCAAACGCGCCCCUCUGUCACCUUCUAGUACAGCCUUCCCUGGUGACCCUGCGUAAGGUUACAACACCAGCCCCGUUGUCACCCUUGUUUUCCAUAUAUCACCGUCUCACAUACCCUAUAUUUUACUUACUUACUCUCUAUCUCCCACUCUAAUAUAAGAUCCACAGGACCAGAGACAUCGAUUUUGGUUCACGGCUGUAUCCCUAGAGUAGUGCCCAGAAAACAUGUGUUGAAUAAAUGAGCGACUAUGAAGAGAAUUCAGAGUAGUUGUUCCCUGAGUUUAGUAAAGACCAGAAGAUAUUCCAGUGAACCUUGAGAGUCAGUUCAGGUGAGAUAGAGCAAUAGGUGACAGAGAGCAGGGCUGGGUAUCUUUAAAAAAAUUUUUUUAACAUCUUUUUUGUGGUAUGGUUCCUGACAAUAAACUACACAUAUUUCAGAUGUACAAGUUGAUGAGUUUUGAUAGAUGUAUACACCCAUGAAACCACCACCACAAUCAAGAUAGCAAACAUUCCCAUCCCUCCCCAAGAGGUGCAAUUUUUGAAUUCCCAAUUUAUCCCUUCCCACUCCCUUUACCCACUGGUAACCAUAAGUUUGUUCUCUAUGUCUGUGAGUCUGUUUCUGUUUUGUAGAUAAGUUCAUUUAUGGCCCUUUUUUUAGAUUCCACAUAUAAGUGAUAUCACACGGCAUUUUUCUUUCUGUUUCUGGCUUACUUCACUUAGAAUGACAAUCUCCAGGUCCAUCCAUGUUGCUGCAAAUGGCAUUGUUUUAUUCUUUUUUUUAUAGCUGAGUAGUAUUCCAUUGUAUAUAUAUAUAUAUAUAUACCACAUCUUUAUCCAGUCAUCUGUCGAUGGACACUUGGGUUGUUUCCAUGUCUUGGCUAUUGUAAAUAGUGCUGCUGUGAACAUUAGGGUGCAUGUGUCUUUUUGAGUUAUAUUUUUCUCUGGAUAUAUGCCCAGGAGUGGGAUUGCUGGAUCAUAUGGUAAGUCUAUUUUUAGUUUUCUAAGGAACCUCUAUACUGUCCUCCAUCGUGGCUGCAUGAAUUUACUUUCCUACCAGCAGUGUAGGAGGGUUCCUUUUUCUCCACACCCUCUCUAGCAUUUAUCGUUUGUAGACUUUUUAAUUAUGGCCAUUCUGACUGGUGUGAGGUGAUAUCUCAUUGUGGUUUUUUGAUUUACAUUUCUCUAACAAUUAGUGAUGUUGGGGGCUGGGUACCACUUGGAGGAAAGUAGGUGACCAUCUAUCCUGGGCCAGUUCUAUAGUUAGCCAGACUUUGUGGGAGGAGAGCUAUUUUUCUGAGCUUUAUGUAACAGAUGUAGUUUUGUAUAAAUCACACUUCUGUAAAAGGAAUCCUAUUUUAAAUGCACUAGCAGAGAUUGCUAUUUAAAGGAAUCUGAUGUCAAAUUCUUUUGUAAAAUGAUUACUCUCCUAAUUUGUCCUCACCGUCAAUUCAUAUUUUCUCCCCCUCCAGAUUAUAUUUACUUAAAUAAAGUAUGCCUGUUUGAGCUGAGGAAAUCUCAUUUUCCAUUUUUCCUCUGUCUUUAUUAUUCCCUUUUUCUUUGCCCUCCUUUUUCCCUUUCCUCAUUCCUGCUUUUCCGUUAGCUGAAUUUUUUUUCCCUCUCUUAGACCCUGACAUGGAAUGUUCUGUAACAUGACCGGAUGUAGAGUGCAAUGAACAGCAGCUCCAUCUCAGACCAGAUGAAUCCAGUCUGGGUGGAGGAAAGGAAUCUGUUAAGGACGCAUGAAUGCGUCCUGGGGGUCCAGGGGUCAGUUCUUAGGUGAUGUCCAGGUACAGCCAAGUUGGUGAAGCACUGACCAAAAAACACCAUCUGCCGUUUGCCCCUCGCACAUCUAAGCUUAUACUCUGCAGAGCUGAUGAGGCUGGAGGGGCAUCUUCUGGGGCUUUGCACAAGGUGCCUGGUGUGAAUUUGGCCGUAGACUGUCACAGGACUGGCUGAUUUGUCUGGGGGCUGGAGGUCAGGGCUCGGGAAUAACCCCUCUCAGUCUGUCACCCACCUGCCAGUAUCUCAGAUGAGAGUGCACACCUGUGACAGCUGCCUGAUGGAGUUCAGUCCUGGUGCUCUGAACGGUGUCUGCCUGCAGUUACCUUGGACUUCACUGGCCCAGCACCCAAUCUUUACCUUCAAGACUAGAGUGGGUUCCUCCCAAGAGAAGAUACAACUGUGUGUUACGGGGGUUUGGUGGGAGGUGUGCAAGCAACUAAGACCAGAACCCACUUCCGUGACAGUAGUACAAGUUGACUUGUUUAGACCUUACGGAAGGUCUUCCUUCAGGUACCUACUCUAAGUUUUUUGAAAACUCUCUCUGAUUCUCAACAGACCAAAGAUCUUAACAAUUGUGUUGAACUCAGAGCAGGGGUUUAGUAAAGAAGUUGGCUUUGGCUAAGAGUUCAGGUGUAACCAUCUACGUUGUAGAAUGUAGACCAUGUGCCCGACUGGUGUGCCUGACUGGUGUGACUUGACCUCUCCGAGCCCACUUGUUUAUCUACAAAGUGUGCCCAGCCUCCCUUGCCAGGGUUUCUUGGCAUCAGUAGGACUGCAGAUGAAAGCUUUGUGAAGGGCUGGACAAUAAUGGAGAAAUGCUAUUGUCACUAGUAUCCAAGCGCACCUGGUCUUCACACAUUUGAAGGAGCCAAACAGGUGAAUUGGGACGGUUGAAUGUGACCUAAUUCAUUACAGGAGUCAAGUAAGAUAUUUUCACAUGGUUGUCCCCUUGUGUAAAAUGGGAUUCGAUUUCUUAAUCAAUUGCCUUUUGGGAAAAUCAGGUCACAGCUGUGUGGCGACCCCCCACUAUCUGAAGAAGAAGAAGAAGCUGAAGAAGGAGGCAUGAGGGGGUGUCGCUGAAAUCACAUGGGAGGGUUCGGAUUUCAUGAGAUCAGGGACCCCUCUGGCUUUCUCAGCUGGGAGAACCCACGAGGAAAGUUACUCUUGCUGCUUUACUUGGGUGCGUUGUGGUGGAGGGUAGAGGUCAAGGGCCACUUAGAUAGUAAUAUGGGGGUGAGAUGGGGGUGUGUGCUGUAGAAAUAGAACAAAAACCAGAGAUUUGGGGAGUAGGGGAAGCAGCAGGCCCUGGCAUUGUCUCCGUGUGGCAAGUUCCUCCUGGCUCAUUCAUUCGGCAGAUGGAGACACUGUUAGGAGCAGAGAUCUGGGAGAGGCACGGAGGCGGGGAGGGGGCAUCCUGUGCUCAGGCACCUCCUCCCCCUUGUGUCUUAAGAGAAUCAGGGCAAAGUUGCUUUAUGUUGCUGAAAGAGAAGAGACAAAACUAACCUCCCUGUUAGAAAUCUGUGAGGUGGAGAGUGAUGGGGGCAGAGGAAGUUGAGCAACACCGGUGGUUUGGGGAGAGACACAGCUCAGGGUUUCGACUCUUGCAGACCAGCUGUCCAUCUGGAAGGCAAGUGUUGCGAAAGGCCGCUGAAGCCUGGCUCGGAGCUUCCUGAGUGACAGGGAUGUGUCUGACAAGCCUGCCCAGGGCAUCAUUCUUUAGGCAGAGUCCUUGCCCAAAGGGGGACUCUCCUGAGUUCUCGGGGCAGCCCCUGUGAAUGUGGCGUUGCAAUUCAGGGCACUUGGAAAGCAGAACCAAGGCUUCCUCUGUGACAAGAGAAACAGAACUGGGUGGGGGUAGGGAGGCAGGGGAUGCCUUUCUGAAGCCACAGCUGCUGGCAGGCGGGGGAGAGGGAAAUGGGCCAGCAUCUCCUUUUCCCUGAGACGUGGUGUGUCAGUAUCUAACCCUUGUGCCCUACAUUUUGGGGCCUUCUGAAAGCCAUGGCGAUCUUUGCCUGAGGAUGUGCAGGAUGACCUGGCUGAUGAGGACUCUUCAGUCAUCACGAUAAAUGAAGGCGGGAAGAUGGAGCUCACUGGCUUCUUCUCCGGGUCAGGAGGACAUGACGGGGGUCCCUCUUUCUGCCAUCGGUCGCCCUUGUGCUGGAUGGUCUGAUUCAGAGCCUGUAAGAAAUUUCUGGGGACCUUGGGGGAUACAGAGAUGGGGGUCUCUCCUGGCAGAGUGGCAGAGAAAACGAGUAGAAGGGCUGUGCGACACUCCUCCAGUGUAAACACUUCUCCGGUGACUGAACGUAUUAGUGCCCGCUUUCCCAAGUCCCCUUGUCCACUUCUCAUGAAACCUGACUUCUUUAUAUCUAAAGCCAGGUAUAUUGAGCUAUAAUUUCUAUACAGUAAAGUUCACCGUUGUUAGGGCACCGUUCCCUGAGUUUUGACAGUCACAUGCAGUCGGGUAACCUCUUCGCAGUCAAGAUUUGAAACAGUUCUAUCACCCCCCAAAAUUCCUUCGUGCCCCUUUGUAGUUGCCCCUUCUACACCCCCAGCCCUUGGCAAUGACUGAUCUUGUUUUCUAUUCCUGUAGUUCCAACUUCUCCAGGAUGUCCUAUAAAUGGAUUCAUGGAGUGUGUGGCCCUUUGAGUCUGGCUUCUUUCAAUUGACGUAAUACUUUCAGGAUUCACCUACUGUUGUCGUGAACCAGAAGUUUAUUCCUUUGAUUGAGUCGCUUUCUGUGGUGUGACUGUGCUGCCGUUUGUGGACCUGUCCCCAGGUGGAAGGACAUUGGGGUUGUGUCCAGUUUGGGGAGGUGAUGAAGACAGAACCUGGCUGCUCUUCAUCCUCACUCAGGGUCCCUGUUGGACCCAGCGACCAUCUAUUUCACAGGCGUUGGGAACUAACACAUUUGAAGACACCUGCGCCCUCUCUUCCCCAUCGUGCCUCCCCACUGCCACUUUCCCUGAUUUCUGUUCUCUCAUCUCACCUCCUGGGGCUCACCGUCCUAGCUGGUUUCCUUUGCACACACCCGCUUGAUCCACAUUCGUCGUAGAAUGGGGUGCCCAGAGCCGAACGCGUUGUUAUUUGGUGCCCAGCAGACUCUCUGGCACGUGGUAGGAUGAAUCGGUACUCCAAGUGUGGUUGACAGCUGUAAAACCAAGGAUUGGCUGUUGUUCUAGAUCUUAUCAUUCUGUUGAUGUGGCUUAAAAUGAAAUUAGCUUCUUAAACUUUAUUUUAUUAUGGUGGCCACAUCAUACUGUCCAUGAACUUAUGGGGAACCACUGGGCGUAAGCUCAGCCCUUUUCAGUUAGUCUGCAGUUCGGCCACAGGCACUUGGAUUCUGGGCCAGGAAUCUUCCGUCCUGUUGGUUUUUCCCCACGGUCGUACUCUACCCAUAUCAUCCGGAUGCACUGGCUGUUACUCUCAGCAUGAAUUAGAUCGGUCACUGUGCGUCUUUAUCCCCUCACUGGUAGACACAGGGAGCAGAACCAGGCCUCGGGCACCAGCGCGCCUCACCCCCUAGAUGAUGACAGCCAAUAACCAGACCUGUAAGAGUGGACCUCUACCCUCAGGGACCUCCCUGUCUAGCCCAGGGGACACCAAAUUUUUUCUGCAAAAGUCCAGAUGGUGAAUAUUUUUGGCUUUGUGGCCAGCUGCUGCUGCUGCUGUUGCUUCUCCCUCCUCCUUCUCCCCUUCUUCCUUCCCCUCCUGCUCAUCCAAGUCCUCUUCCCUUUAAAAAUAUAAAAACCAGUGGGGAAGGUUUAGCUCAAGUGGUAGAGUGCCUGCUUAGCAUGCACAAGGUCCUGGGUUCAAUCCCUAGUACCUCCUCUAAAAAUAAAUAAAUAAACCUAAUUACCUCCCCACUCCCCUCCCCCCAGAAAAAGCAAAAAACAAAUUUUAAAAGAAGUAAUGAUAUAAAAACCAAUCUCAGCUCAUAGGUCAUGCACAGACAGGCUGUGAGCCAGGUUUGGCUGCAGUCAGUAGUUUCCACUCCUGUUAGCCCCAUUAUCACUCAUCCUUGUCUACGAGAUGUUUUAAGAGACUAUAUUAAGUGCCUAGAAGGUGGAAAUUCAGACACACACCAUGUCUACUUGGUUUUCCUGAAACGCUGGCCUAGAGUCUAAGGAGGGAAACGCGGUCAGUCUCACGUGACUUGCUUCCGCGAAUGCGUGUUGGCGCCUGGUGAGCAAUGCCGCCCUUUCUCUCAGGAACCUCUUGUGAGUCACACGUGACAUUUUACCUUCUUCGCUGCCAGUAAAUCACGGUUAUCUUCACCCAUGUCUGGCCUUUGGGCCCCACUGUUUCCCCACCAGCCCGCCACGAUGCCCAGAGUGUGUGUGCACCACCUAGACUUGCUGUCUUCAUCCCUUUCAUGUCCUCAUCCAAGUCAGAUGCCUGCACUCACUCGGCACCGGGGAGUCUUCCUAACUCCCCUAACUCCUAAAUUGUUGAAGGAGGGUUUUUCUCUUUCAACGCGCUUUCUGCCUUUUUCAGUUCAAAAAUCACUCUGGACAGAAAAAAAAAAACAAGCCACAUAGGAGUUUAGCGUCAACCUCCCACCACGGCUGAAAGCAACAUACCUCCCCCUUCUUGAUCUGUUUGCUUUUUGUGAAAUAAGGUGUCCAGCCCUUUUGGGGUGGCCCACACGUAUUCUGGAAGCCUCAUCUCAUUCUGGCUGCAGCUUUCUGAUCUGCUCGUACGCCCGGCGUAGGUAACGUGUGCACCUGUGCUGCUUGCUUUUUUCGCAAAGUACUGAGAUCACGCAGAGGAGAAGGAAGGAAAUGGGAGGAGGACGGUCCUUCUCUCCCUGUAAAGGGUUAACUCUUGGGCUUCACCCGUGCUCUCCAGCAGCACCAGGUAGCGGGUCCCGCACCCCGGUAGCAGGUCCAGUUACACGGAUUGUCCUUUAUAACCUGUGGGAAAGGCUCACCUGGAGUGUGUGUAGCCCAGUCUUACAGCCCAGAUGGCAGCCCUGACCUGCAUAUAGUAGACAUUCAGUCAAAAUCAUAAUUCCUGUGUUUUCCACUUUUAAAAAAGUUGUUUUACACAUAAUAUGAAGAAAGAAACAGAGGGAUUUGGGAAGUGGACAAGAAAGCUUUACUGAUGGGUAGGAUGGGCGCACUGAGGCAAAGGCGACAGUGCAGGAUGACUUCUAGGGAGGCUGGGAGAGGAAUAGUUGGGCGGUUGGCCAUGCUGGCAGAAACAGUUCAGAGCCUUGGGCCUGGUUGAGAUCACCCAGGAGCUAAUAGGAGUCAAUAGAGAUCUGGGGCGCAGUUGUCAUGGGCUGGAAAGUGAGGCAGGCAGGUGGGCGACGUUGAGGCUGCUGAGUGUUGCUGAAGGCAGCGCAGUGUGGGCAGAAGGACCUGGGUUUGAAUUCGGGCUCUACCUGCUGCUGCCUGUGUUACUUUGGGCAACUUGACUCUGGAAAUCGGGGGUCGGAUUCCCUGCCCUCCAGGGGAGGGAGCAUCAGAAGCAAAUCCCCAAGUGCAGCACCUGGUAGAGGCCCUGCUGCUACCACUAACUGGGGGACAAUGACAGUGACUAUCCUAUUAUAAUUUCUGAUCAAGAGAAGAAUUAAAAAGACUUGAUGGCUGACAUCAACUUCCAAGUAUCACAGGCAGGACCAGAGCGGUCUCACUCAGUACUGAGGGCUGCCUUUGGUCUUCUGUGCCCUGCUUGUCUCUUCCCCGAGGCUCAUGUGACCUCAACUUGGUUCUGAAUCUGUCGUCCUUACUCUGGCUGUCCCCACCUUUACCAUGGUACACCUCAGCAGUCUUCUGAGUCUGCCUCUUGCCGGCAUCGCUGCCCACCCUACCCCCUCACCAGCCUCGUUCGUGCCUGGGUGGAGAUGGUGACCCAGAGGAUCCCUUUCUGUCCUGUGUCUCAGGAUCAGGCCCUUGGAAGGAAGAUCUUUUCAGUCUUGUGUGGGCUGAGCUUGGCUCCUGGAUGCUACAGGCCUUUGCAGGAGUGCAGGCUGGGAUGGGGGAAGGAUGAGAGACUACACCAAGUUGCAGGCGUUAGCAGGACCACCUGCCUCAUCUGUUUACUCCAAGCUUCCACACCUGACUCCGUGAGGGACGCAGGCCUCAGCCCCCAAGGUGGGCAGCAUCGCCGAGGCUGUUGGUGGUGGCCACCUCUGGCUGUGCUCAACAAAUGCCUCCCAUCCCACUGCCUGCCCUUUCCAUUCUGUUUCUCUGUCUCCCUUCUAUCGUAUUUCCUCCUUUCUCCUCCCACCCAUCCUGGUCUCAGGUUUUCCUGCACUUGGCCUGGAUAGUGGGCCUUCCAGUCCUUGGCUUCAGGACCUGCCACCCGCACCAGGCACAUCCUCCAUGCCUAUCCCUGCCAUGGAACCUUAGCAAGCCAGCCCAGCCUUGGCAGCCCAAAUGCCAGGCCUCUGCCAGGAGCUGUGUGCGUGAUGGACAGAGGCCGGCUAGCCCCCACAGCCCGGGCCUAGCCCCUGCUCCCCGCAGAAGCAAGGCCUGAAGGUUUCCCGUUGGCUGCAGCCUGGCUGAGGCUGUCCUGUGGGAGUCGAGGGUGGGGCGGAGGGGACAGAGGCUGGGGGAAAGCCGCCCUUCCUGCGGUGCCUGCUGAUAAUUGGCUCUCCGGAACCAGCUUGGGACACAAGGGCCAGCGGGGUCAGGAAGUGGCACAAUGCUGCUCUUUCAGGGGGACCCUGCCUGGUCUUAGGUCCUGUGUGACUCGGGGGAAUCUGGAGAACAGCCUGUUCUCAGAGGACAUUCUCCAAGCCAGGCCAGAGGCAACCUUGAAAGGCUUGGCAAAUGUGGUCACUUUGCCCAGAGAUCUCUCUGCAGCCAGGAUCCCAUCUGGAGCUGGGAGAAACAUAGACGGAACUACUGUCACUCAUCAGAGGAAAUCUGAAGGAAAGAGGAUGGCCUGGGAUGAGUCUGGAAGAGAUGCUGAGAAAUGAGGUCCCAGGAGGGCCUCCAUGGGACAUGAGUACUGCCUCACUGGGAGAUGUGGGGGAAUAAACUUUUUACUUCUUUCUCGCAG